AUGGAAAAUCCUACAUCGCAUUUGUGGUCACAUUGAGAAUCUAACAAAAAGCAGAGUUGUUUCUACUGGAGACUUAAUUUUAUACAAGAUAAAAAAAUUAAAGAGCAGCCUAGAAAUAUUCAGUUUGUACAAGAAUAACUAAUAAGGAUAAGUUUUCACUGUAUAAACAUGAACCAGAUACAAGUGACCAUUUAGAAGGGAUGGUUCCAAUUUCAAUAUUUAUUUAUCAUUGUGCACAUUCAAAAUCAAUAGUAUGUUCCUUUGAUAUUAUUCCCCCCACACCCUCAUUUCUAGUGGAAUGUAUGUUUAAUAUAGACCUGGUGUAAAUAUUUAAUUUCCACACAUAGAACAGCAAAAUCCAAUCCAUUACUAUGGGUCAUGACCCCUUCAGAACAGGGACACAGCUCAUAAAAUAGAAAGUAUAAGAAGCCAAACCAUUUCUCAGAAGACAAGGUUGCAUGAACUACAAAAUAGGGAACUCAAUUACCAUAAGUUACACUAGAUAUUUUAAAUUAAUGAAAUGCAUUGGUAUUUUUCACUGGUUUUCACUCACUCGAUUCUCUAUAUAUUUUGUUGCUUGAAUUGCAUCAUGGACCAGACUUGUGCAAACAUAACUAUAAUAUUCCUGUUUAUUUCAUGUUCAGCAAGUUGUUGUAAAACAUUCCAAGCUCCUUCUCACUGGAGCCACAGGACUCCACAUCAGUGAGACAGGCCAGAAGAACAAAAGAAGAAAAAAUACUGGCAAGGAGAGCAGUCAUAUCUUUUGAGCUACACAAAGCUGAACAAUGUUGCAAGGAAGGCUCCUCCCCAACUCUGGGGGCACAAGGACACAGAUGGUGCCUCCCUUCUCCACUACCCCACCCCCACCGUGGCUUUCGUGAAAAAGAACUCCACAGUGGAGCCAGCCAGAGACUCGUCUGGAGGAGCAGUAACAGAAGCAGCUACAGUUUUGACUGGACUUCCUCUGCUCUGUACUAAUUGGCUGUUUGCUCCAAACCUGCAUCUCCUCAUCUCAGCUUCACUCCACAACUGCCCCCCCUUUUCCUGCCCUGUCAUGCUCACUCAUCUUCCUUUCCCUUUAGCUUAUCCCCUCCUAACUCCACUCCCCUCCCCUCCCAAAAAAGUCAUGGCACUGAAGUGAUGGCUUGUGCCAUCACACUGCUUUGCAUGUUAUUCCUCCCUGCCCCCCACUCUCUGUCUGCCUGGCCUAUUUAGACUGCAAGCUCUUCGGGGGGCAGGGAUUGUCAACUACUCUGUACAGCGCUCCACUCUGCAUUGGUACUUAGGCACUGCCGUAAUAAACAUGAUUAAUAAUACUAUAUACGCA
Molecule: long non-coding RNA, 1327 nt
Filed under: Chrysemys picta bellii (western painted turtle)
Lineage: Eukaryota; Metazoa; Chordata; Testudines; Emydidae
Description: lncRNA (ENSCPBG00000022027.1)
Source: RNAcentral